UACGAAGGGGGCUAGCGUUGUUCGGAAUCACUGGGCGUAAAGCGUACGUAGGCGGAUGCUUAAGUCAGGGGUGAAAGCCUGGAGCUCAACUCCAGAACUGCCUUUGAUACUGAGCGUCUCGAGUCCGGGAGAGGUGAGUGGAACUGCUAGUGUAGAGGUGAAAUUCGUAGAUAUUAGCAAGAACACCAGUGGCGAAGGCGGCUCACUGGCCCGGUACUGACGCUGAGGUACGAAAGCGUGGGGAGCAAACAGG
Molecule: ribosomal RNA, 253 nt
Filed under: uncultured bacterium
Lineage: Bacteria
Description: partial 16S ribosomal RNA
Rfam family: Bacterial small subunit ribosomal RNA
Source: RNAcentral